UGCCCCAUGGCUGAGUUGGUUACAGCGUCCGACUGUUACUAAGUAUGGCAUCGGAAGGUCGUGAGUUCGAGCCUCACUGGGGCAG
This is a non-coding RNA of Pisolithus marmoratus, 85 nucleotides long. Lineage: Eukaryota; Fungi; Basidiomycota; Agaricomycetes; Boletales; Pisolithaceae. The record is from the annotation of a GenBank genome assembly.